RNAcentral lists this microRNA precursor (200 nucleotides) under Oryza barthii. RNAcentral describes it as "MIR812 microRNA precursor family". It matches the Rfam family "MIR812 microRNA precursor family". The record is from Rfam by way of RNAcentral. Lineage: Eukaryota; Viridiplantae; Streptophyta; Magnoliopsida; Poales; Poaceae.
ACUACCUCCAUCCCAGAAUGGCCGCAUUUUUGUACAGUUUAUGUAUUUAAAAAUUUUUAUGAUUAGUAUUUUUAUGUUAUUAGAGGAUAAAACAUGAAUAGUACUUUAUAUGUGACUAAUAUUUUUAAAAAAAUAUAUUAUAUUAAAAAAUAAGACGGACGGUCAAACAUUGGACACGGAAAUCCACAACUGCACAUAAA